Molecule: ribosomal RNA, 429 nt
Filed under: Actinomycetes bacterium
Lineage: Bacteria; Bacillati; Actinomycetota; Actinomycetes
Description: Actinobacteria bacterium partial 16S ribosomal RNA
Rfam family: Bacterial small subunit ribosomal RNA
Source: RNAcentral
UAGGGAAUCUUCCGCAAUGGGCGAAAGCCUGACGGAGCAACGCCGCGUGAGUGAUGAAGGUCUUCGGAUCGUAAAACUCUGUUAUUAGGGAAGAACAAAUGUGUAAGUAACUAUGCACGUCUUGACGGUACCUAAUCAGAAAGCCACGGCUAACUACGUGCCAGCAGCCGCGGUAAUACGUAGGUGGCAAGCGUUAUCCGGAAUUAUUGGGCGUAAAGCGCGCGUAGGCGGUUUUUUAAGUCUGAUGUGAAAGCCCACGGCUCAACCAUGGAGGGUCAUUGGAAACUGGAAAACUUGAGUGCAGAAGAGGAAAGUGGAAUUCCAUGUGUAGCGGUGAAAUGCGCAGAGAUAUGGAGGAAAACCAGUGGCGAAGGCGACUUUCUGGUCUGUAACUGACGCUGAUGUGCGAAAGCGUGGGGAUCAAACAGG